RNAcentral lists this ribosomal RNA (430 nucleotides) under bacterium. Its description in RNAcentral is "partial 16S ribosomal RNA". It matches the Rfam family "Bacterial small subunit ribosomal RNA", at positions 355 to 776 of the family's 1533-position model. The record is from RNAcentral.
UGGGGAAUAUUGGACAAUGGGCGCAAGCCUGAUCCAGCCAUGCCGCGUGUGUGAAGAAGGCCUUUUGGUUGUAAAGCACUUUAAGCGAGGAGGAGGCUACUUGGAUUAAUACUCUAGGAUAGUGGACGUUACUCGCAGAAUAAGCACCGGCUAACUCUGUGCCAGCAGCCGCGGUAAUACAGAGGGUGCGAGCGUUAAUCGGAUUUACUGGGCGUAAAGCGUGCGUAGGCGGCUUCUUAAGUCGGAUGUGAAAUCCCUGAGCUUAACUUAGGAAUUGCAUUCGAUACUGGGAAGCUAGAGUAUGGGAGAAGAUGGUAGAAUUCCAGGUGGAGCGGUGAAAUGCGUAGAGAUCUGGAGGAAUAUCGAUGGCGAAGGCAGCCAUCUGGCCUAAUACUGACGCUGAGGUACGAAAGCAUGGGGAGCAAACAGG